Long non-coding RNA from Sardina pilchardus (European sardine), 4595 nucleotides. RefSeq lists it as uncharacterized. The transcript has 3 exons. The record is from RefSeq and is a predicted model, not a curated record. Lineage: Eukaryota; Metazoa; Chordata; Actinopteri; Clupeiformes; Clupeidae.
CCAACUUCACCUUCGGUGAAGCUAGCUGAAGUUGCUGCUAUAUAUUAAGGAUUAGGCUACUGACUUUACUCUCAAAUCAAGGCAGCUACGUGACUGCAAUGAUCGCCAACGAUAACAAGGAAAAUGAAGAUAAUAAAUACAUGUGAAAUAUUAAUCUUACCUCAAGCAUUGUAACCGUAUCACCAUAGCUUUUGCUUACGUCGGAUGUACUGAUACCCAGCAACGCUUCAAAGCGGAAAUUGUGUGACGUUACUGUGAAAAUGGCUAAUUUUUAGGGCUGGGUUCAAAAAAGAUUCACGAUUCAAUAUCGAUUCCCGUUCAAAAAAUAUGAUAUCGAUUCAAAAUUUGCGGAUCGAUCUUUUCCAGUCAGCUAGGCACUAAUGUUUAGGCACUACUUUGCGCGACUGCACAAGGAGUAGGGUUGCAAAAUUCCGGGAAUUUUCAAAGUUGGAAACUUUCCAUGGGAAUUAACGGGAAUAUACGGGAAUUAAUGGGAAUAAAUGGGAAUUAAUGGGAAUAAACUGGAAAUGUUGUAUUUGGCAAGUUAGUAUAUAACGGAGACCUUAAUGUAGUUGGAAAAAAACCCAUCUUUCAGCAUAAUGUUAGUUAAAACAACCUGAUUUAAUGCAAAUUCAGUUGAAUUUCUACCCUGCACACACGUCAAUUACAUGCACACAACAAUCAACAUAGGCUACUAGACAUAUAAGAAACCUAAUUUUCCCAGUGAAAACGUCAUUCCAAACGUUAUCUCAUGUGGGAAUAACUGGUGGGAAACUGGGGGAAGUUUGCGAACCGAGUCGCCCAGUUCUUGGCGUGUCAUCACUGUUGUCCUCAUGCAAAUGGGAGAACGCAAUUUUGCAUAAGCUCUAAUGGGAUGGUUAAUAAUCAUAUGGUCAUAUUACUGGUCUGAUUUAGCUUGGCACUUUUAAAAUAAUCAUAGUUAUUCUGUGAGGUUUGGGGUCAUGCAUGUAUGUAAUGUCGGUAUUUUUGGCCAACUGAGGAUUAAAAUAAAUUCAUUAAACAUUUUUGUAACAAGUUGAGUUCAGUCAGUGUUCACGGCAGUCUUGGCUGGUUAAUGUAAGCUGCUAGUAAAAAACGAAAUUCCCGUUAAUUCCCUAAUUUCCUGCAAUUCCAUCAAAGUUUCCACUAUUGAAUAUUUCCAAAAUUCCCCAUCUUAACUUCCCAUGGGAAAUUUCCAGAAAGUUUCCGGAAAUUUACCGGAACCCUAGCAAGGAGACCUAUAAAAACGUGAGACCGGCAAAAUCGAAACCUAAGGCAGAGCGAACCAAGCAUGGCUGAAGCUGCCACGUUAAAAUCACCAAUCUUGCAUAGUUUCUCUUUAAAACGCGGCUGAGGCAGUCAAAAGACUGCUGAGUCCUCAGACUGGGAUGCUGUUACUUACAUGAAAACAUGUAUCCUUGAACUAUGCGUGACUAUUUUCCUAAAACUGAAUGAAACCCUUAAAGUGACAGUCUCUCAAUUAGAUCUAUAUACCACCCCUGUUAUAAGUAUUCAAAUUACUGAAUAUUUUAAGCUAUAAGUAUUUAUGCAGAUCCUAAAAUGCUAUAAAUUGUUAACAAAAUGUAUACAAAUUAUGAAUUCAAAAUAUGAAAUGGAAACAAGACAAGUCAUUUUCUGUGUGUGUGGAGGGUUGAGCAGAGACUAGGAUUGCCACUGCUGUGAAUGAUCUGUAUCCCACUUAAGGUUUUGCCUAUAUUUUUGUAAAGUAAUAAACACGGCCACAAAAACUAUUUCAGCUUGGCCUAUCAGUGCCUUCUUGCCAUAUUGAACAGAUAUUUUUAAAAAUACUGUGAUGGUGAUAAUUUUGGUCACUAUAACCGUGGGGUUAUAUUUUCAUACCGUUACAUCCCUAGUGACUAGAAUAUGCCACAGCAUAUUGUUUAGACAGGAGAUGAAUAUUUAAGGCAUAGGUAUAAGCUUUUCUGAUCAACUUGGGGCCUGAAUUUGUGUGCGGGAUUGCGGGUAUCCCGCAUAUUUUUUUCAUUUCCCGCACCUUAAUGAUUCUAAUUUGGGAGAUUCCCGCACACUUAGUGCCCAUAAUAACCUCUCCAGACGGGCCCCGCAGCUCGUGAAUAUCAUUGAAAUGAAUGGCCAAAGGGAGGAAGAUCCUCCGCGGAAGUGCCUCUGUCAAUGCAUGUCAGUGCCAUUGCACUUCCACGCUUUAGCCAGCGGUCCAUGUUUACAUGGUUGUAAUGUUACUGCGUUUUUAGAGAGUGGAUGUGCGCCCGCGUGUGUGAACUGCCUGUGCGUCUGCUGUUUUUUUGUCAGUUUUUUUUUUUGUAGACUACGGGGGGGAGGUGGGUCAAUCAGUAACGGUUCAAUUCAAGUAACAUUGAGAACAGAAGGUAGCAUUCACACUGAUCCAUUAUUAGAUUGACGUUGUCAAGGCACUUAUGUGUGCGGGAAUCUCUCUCAUUAGAAUCAUUAAGGUGUGUGAAAUAAAAAGAAUAUGCGGGAUACCCACAAUAUACAAUAUGACCUUGUUCGCAAAUGAAUAGAUAUGCAUCUGUUACCCUGUAAACUUAAAAUGUCGCGCUGUAGAGUGAAAUUAAUGAGAGCUACAACACAUAGGCUAGUAACUUUACAGCUAGCCUUAGGUCUGGACUUCAUAAAACUCAUACUAGCUAGCUUGCUAACUAACGUUACACACUUCAGAAACUGAUUACCAUUGUAAACAAAAGCUUAGCAAUGUGUCACCACUGUUUUAGUUCUGUUAGCUGUUUUUUCUGGUUUACUUUUCAGAAACUCUUUGUGGAGUUCAGAAUGAUGGCUCUUAAGAUCUGUAAUUAAGUUGGUACUUUUUAGUGUCAUGUUAGCCCUCAUCGCAUCACUUGUGCAAAUAGCCAUUAUGUUAUCAGUUUCUGUAAUUGACCUUUCGCCAGUGUUUGAUUGACAGACAAUCUGACCAAUCAGAACGCUUCUAAUACCGAGCUCAUGGAUGUCCGCCGUUCUGUCCGACAUCACAGCAACAACACAGCUGUUAACCUUUCAUUUAUUGUCUCAGCUGAUUCGGUUUCCCCCCUUCAAAAUGGUUAAACGGUGUUGUUAUGGCAACACUGACUGCAGAUACAAGGACUGGGUUGAAAACGUCGAUUUAGUCCCUUUCCCGAAAAAAAAUAGAAAAAUGGUUACGUUGGAUAAAGUUAUGCGGACAACCACAUCAACAGCUGAACGUCAGCACAUUAAGAAAUCACGGCACAGCUACCAGAAACAUUUCUACGUUUGCUCAAAGCACUUUGUUGAAGGCAAAGCGACCCAAGACCACCCUGAUCCUCUGCAGCAUCGCCUUAUGAUCGCCCAUCAUCUGUAAGGCGCCCACCACAGCUGCGAAGAGAGCCACAGCCCCUCAGGAAGAGUGCCACUAGGCUAGGUCUACUGAAACCAUAAGGGUCAUCAUGGUGCAUCAGGAGCCUACUCCACACACCCAGGACACUACUCCAUACGCCCUGGACCCUACUCCACACACCCAGGACACUGCUCCACACACCCAGGACCCUACUCCACACGCCCUGGACACUACUCCACACACCCAGGACCCUACUCCACACGCCCUGGACCCUACUCCACACACCCAGGACCCUGCUCCACACACCCAGGACCCUACUCCACACACCCAGGACACUACUCCACACACCCAGGACCCUACUCCACACGCCCUGGACCCUACUCCACACACCCAGGACACCAUGAACUGUGCUAUUUACAGUUUUUUGCCCGUUGCAUGAACACAUUUUGCAAAACUUUGCUUACUGUGCCAAAACUCUACACACAAUAACAUAACGGCACACUAGAAAAUAUACCUUUCACAUCUAUGUAAAAUUGAAACUCUACUAUCAGUAUGUAAAUUCCAAACCUAACAAUCCUUAUAUAUAACUCUGGUGACAAAAUGAAACACACUUGCAUCAUAUGCAUACACUUUCAGAUCAGGAGGAACACACUAGUCUACUUUAUAUAAAACAUUUGCUUGAAUACAUUUAGCAAAACUUCGCUCAUUGUGCCACAACUCUACACACAAGUAAACAUCACACAACACUGGGAAAUAUACUAUUCACAUCAGCAUUCACAAUGGCUAAACUGAGGGCUUUUUUUAGCUGGCUGAUUGGUGUUCAGUUUUGCAAGAAAGUGCCUUCAAGUGUGUAUUUGAGAGGUUGCAAUUACCCGAUGUGUUUUGUAUUUUGGAUACAUGUGUUUAACAAAUGGUACUCUGAGAUUUAAUUUUUGAACAAACUGUCUUAUGUAUGACAUAGAGAGUAGUAUGCAGGACCAAGUGUGUCGCAUAAAGGAGUAAGUGUGUUGCAGAAUUGCAACUAGACUGCAAAGCAGCACUUUUGUUUUAAGGUAUAGGUGCAUGUGUUUGAGAUUAUGGCAACAACACUUCAAGUUGUGUUACUUUAGUUUAAGCAUGGGUCUUUAAUUUACAGUUUUUGCCCAUUGCUUGAGCACUAAUCAUUUUGUACAUAUAUUGACUUAAGAAACACAAAACACCUUUAUAUUUAUUUAUGUAUAUUGUUGGUCAUGCCUGUGUGUUUUUAAAUGGCCCUUGGUCUGACAUUAAAAAUGAUACUCUUCAACAA